GCAGGAGUUCGAUUCUCGAGCCGUUUUCCAUGUGAGUCCCGGAGCCACCAGACGUCCUCGUAUUGCCAGCUGAAGCAGGUGUGCGUGGAGUUGGAUCCUCGAGCCAGUGUCCCGUGUUAGUCCCGGCGCCGCCAGACCAUCGAGAAACGAUAGUUCACUGACCUGCAGCGGACCAGUUACCGCCACCCCCCCUCCCGGUCGUCCAGGCCCAUUCCACGAAAAGCGGAACCUACAAUGACGCCUCAACCGGCUAACACUCGGCGCUGCCUCAAAUUCCUUCACCGACUAUCAGCCGUCCCUCAAGCAACAAGGCGAUGGUGAGAAGCUCCAGCCGCAAUGGACGCCGCUGUCAUCCAGGGGUGCCGGUUCGAUAUCGGGGCCAAAGGAACGCGAUUGGCGGGAGUCUGGUUCUUGCCCGGGCACCAGGUCGAGUCCCGUGAAAAGGUUGGGUCCCGGCUAAAGACCCGGCAAGGCGGCGCGAAUGCAGCGAAAGACGGCAGCUUAGACGGCCACUGUUUCGGGGAUUCCUCGCCACCGCCGCUGCUCGCAGGAGGACGUGUCCCUGAAGAGUAGAACACUGGCGAACAUGACUGCCUCAGUGGUGUAGAAAGCGAGGACGACGAGGGUGUGCCGGCCACCGACGCCUGAGGACGGAGUGGCACUGUGAUGGAGGUUGAACCUGUGCAGUUAUUCUCAAGUGCGUUCGAUGAGAUGGUGAAGUCAGCUUCGGCAUCGGUACAGACGAUAGCAUCGACCUGCGUCGUAUUGAGCGAUCCUGGCCAGCAGUCCGGAGACGACUCGUCUUCUUCGUGAAGACGAUUCUGCUGGUUUCAUGCUCUGGACCGCUACGACACGCCACUCGAGUUACACAAAGGAGCUUAUUAGAACUUUAAGUUAAUUUUUAUCUGGACACUCUGGGUUUCCAUAUCCUUUGUUACCGCACCGUUUCAAAGAGAUGCCAAUAAAUCAUGAUCUAUUUGAGGUGGAGGCCUUAGGGGAGGAACGUUCUAGAACACGUGGUAAGUAUACUUAUGCUUGGUCUUAACCCUCAUUAGUCGGGAAAGCCUCGCGAAAGUUUCUGUGGCACCCAAAGACGGCGGAGAUGGGGUGUCCGACUGUAGCCACAGGGCUCUUUUCAAGUGAGCGUAAAUAACUCCUGUCCUCUCUUUCCCUUCCUCAUCCCGCUCCCCAGGAAUAGAGUAACAAACGAGACUAAGUCCAAAUGACUUACCUGCGUUUCCUUCUUUUCUGUAUCGAAAGUAAUCUGCAGAGCAGGUAAUAA
Long non-coding RNA from Dermacentor silvarum, 1282 nucleotides. RefSeq lists it as uncharacterized. NCBI's taxonomy places the organism in Eukaryota, Metazoa, Arthropoda, Arachnida, Ixodida, Ixodidae. The transcript has 4 exons. The record is from RefSeq and is a predicted model, not a curated record.